This 123-nucleotide ribosomal RNA is filed under the name Eubacterium sp. An11. RNAcentral's name for it is "partial 23S ribosomal RNA". It matches the Rfam family "Bacterial large subunit ribosomal RNA", at positions 2803 to 2925 of the family's 2925-position model. Lineage: Bacteria; Bacillati; Bacillota; Clostridia; Eubacteriales; Eubacteriaceae. The record is from RNAcentral.
GAUGAGAUCUCCUAGCAGAAAUGUGAGAGACCCCUUAGAGACGAUGAGGUAGAUAGGGCAGGGGUGGAAGUACAGCGAUGUAUGGAGCUGACUGCUACUAAUCGGUCGAAAGCUUGACCACAA